AAGCUGUGUUGUGGGCAUGAACUGACAAAAUCCUUGAACCACUCCCAACAUUGAAAGAAUGUUUCAUUUUAUUUUAUUUUUUUGUGAAGUUCAUGAUUGACUUUUUAAGGGU
Small nucleolar RNA from Magnolia sinica, 112 nucleotides. NCBI's taxonomy places the organism in Eukaryota, Viridiplantae, Streptophyta, Magnoliopsida, Magnoliales, Magnoliaceae. The record is from RefSeq and is a predicted model, not a curated record.